RNAcentral lists this ribosomal RNA (506 nucleotides) under uncultured bacterium. Its description in RNAcentral is "partial 16S ribosomal RNA". It matches the Rfam family "Bacterial small subunit ribosomal RNA", at positions 29 to 523 of the family's 1533-position model. The record is from RNAcentral.
AGUGAACGCUGGCGGUAGGCCUAACACAUGCAAGUCGAACGGCAGCACAGAGGAGCUUGCUCCUUGGGUGGCGAGUGGCGGACGGGUGAGGAAUACAUCGGAAUCUACUCUGUCGUGGGGGAUAACGUAGGGAAACUUACGCUAAUACCGCAUACGACCUACGGGUGAAAGCAGGGGACCUUCGGGCCUUGCGCGAUUGAAUGAGCCGAUGUCGGAUUAGCUAGUUGGCGGGGUAAGGGCCCACCAAGGCGAAGAUCCGUAGCUGGUCUGAGAGGAUGAUCAGCCACACUGGAAAUGAGACACGGUCCAGACUCCUACGGGAGGCAGCAGUGGGGAAUAUUGGACAAUGGGCGCAAGCCUGAUCCAGCCAUACCGCGUGGGUGAAGAAGGCCUUCGGGUUGUAAAGCCCUUUUGUUGGGAAAGAAAUCCAGCUGGCUAAUACCCGGUUGGGAUGACGGUACCCAAAGAAUAAGCACCGGCUAACUUCGUGCCAGCAGCCGCGGUAA